UCUCCGUUCUUCAAAAACUUGGGCUCCUUCUCCAGCUCCUUACCCGAUCGCCUGUCCACCUUCGUCAAGAUCUCGGCAAACUUCACGGCAAUGUGAGAGGUGUGACAGUCCAGCACCGGCGCGUAACCGUUUCCGAUCUGUCCCGGGUGGUUCAUGAUGAUAACCUGGGCAGUGAAGUUGGCUGCUUCCUUCGCAGGGUCGUUCUUCGAGUCCGAAGCCACGUAUCCUCUCUUCAGGUCCUUCACCGCCACGUUCUUCACAUUGAACCCGACGUUGUCUCCGGGGUGAGCCUCAGGCAUCGACUCGUGGUGCAUCUCCACCGACUUCACCUCAGUCGUCAGUCCAGUGGGUGCAAAGCACACCAACAUACCCGGCCUGAUGAUUCCAGUCUCCACACGUCCCACUGGCACAGUUCCAAUACCUCCAAUCUUGUAGACAUCCUGAAGGGGCAACCGCAGGGGUUUGUCGGAUGGCCUCUUGGGCUCUGACACGUUGUCCAGGGCCUCGAGAAGGGUUGGGCCCUUGUACCAGUCCAAGUUCGUCGAUCGCUCGAUCAUGUUAUCACCCUCAAACCCUGAAAUGGGCACGAACGGAAUCUUGUCCGGGUUGUAACCGACCUUCUUGAGGUACGUCGACACCUCCUUGCUGAUCUCAUCGAAUCGAGCCUUGCUGUACUUCGGCGUGGUAGCGUCCAUCUGCCACACAUGGCAUACACAUCGUCAAUAAAAGGACAUCCUCAACCCAUGCGUGCCCUAUUCUCACUCCAAAACGGUUCUAGCUUUUCUAAGUUGGUGGUUAUAUACAAUGACAUAAGACAGUACAUAUGUCAGGCGGUCUAAUUCAUUGGUCCAAGUAACCAAAGUAGACCUUGUUCAUACAUCGGCGGUCGCAGUAUGAUUCAAAAUGCGGUACCGAGACGAACUCAAUGAAUGUACAUUUGAUAUGACUUACCUUGUUGCAGCAGCAGAUCAUCUGCUUCACUCCCAAGGUGAAAGCCAACAGUGCAUGCUCACGGGUCUGCCCAUCCUUGGAGAUACCAGCCUCGAAUCCUCCGGUGGUGGAGUCAAUGAUCAGCACUGCGCAGUCCGCCUGCGACGUUCCCGUAAUCAUGUUCUUGAUGAAAUCGCGAUGUCCGGGAGCGUCGAUCACAGUGCAGUAGUACUUCACGGUCUCGAACUUCCACAGCGCAAUAUCGAUCGUGAUACCACGCUCGCGCUCAGCCUUCAGCUUGUCCAGCACCCACGCGUACUUGAACGAACGCUUGUUCAUCUCAGCCGCUUCCUUCUCAAAGCGCUCGAUCACACGCUUGUCGAUCCCUCCUAGCUUGUAGAUCAGGUGGCCUGUGGUCGUAGACUUGCCGGAGUCGACAUGGCCGAUGACCACAAUGUUGAUGUGAACUUUCUCCUUACCCAUCUUCGAUUAUCUGCACAACCUUUCAAACUUGUGUAAGAUAUCCAGGCAGCACAGAAUCUCGGAAAUACGAAGUUCGAAGUACACAGCAAAGAAAAAUUGUAUCCAGAAAAUAGCUACCUUUCAGUCUCUCUGAUAAAGAUUAGGACGUGAAGACUACCUACUAACAGGGAAGGAAACGACAGCAGGUAUCAACCAUGAGAAACUCCAAGAACCCCAUCUCGCAUUGGGCAGCCGCGCCGGCUGACUGAAUGACAAAGAAGGUGAUCCACAAAAACCCUAAUAAAAGUGCACAAACAUGUUACUUCACACCGAAAGAGGCUCUCAAACAACCAGAUUUUUCAGCAGAAAAGAACCGCAUUGUUAUUGCAUACCUGGAAAACGAGGCAGAGGUUCCGAGCAGCGUAGGAAAAAACGACAGUGGCGACUAAUCUCGCAGGAGAGCUCUGGAGAGUAUGUCACGGGACGACAGAUUAGCGUGCGGCGCUCCCUCUUCAAGGGCUUACGCUGGUGGCUCCGCCCUCGAAUCGUCCAUCGAACGGCCCUGCUUGACAGUCCGCAUGGUUCACGGCGCGGUUAGACGCGCCGUUUGGGAGGCGUGCCUGGAGGCGGGGGCGAGGAAGCAACCCCCUGCCCUAAUGAGGACUCCCAUGCACAAGGGUGGCGGCUUCGUGAGCCCACGUUAUCAUGUUCUAAUUUCGAGGCCCAAACCGGAUUAAAUCUCUGUGGGUAUCUCCGACCAAAAGAAUUUGAUCCUCACUGUAGCUCCUCAGCGGUUCGUAUGCAUGAGUGUCAUGAACCCAAGAAUUUCUCACAAACUUUGCCUUGAGUGUGAUGCUCUUGUUGCCGUCUCGGAGUUAAUCAAGAGCGCAAGCUGUGACCUAGCUUACGUAGACUGCUAUUCAAUUGUGUACAUGCUGCUGAAAAACAAUCAUGUUCUUAAUUUUUAUAGAAAUGAAUAAUUUGCCAAAUUUUUCUGCGGCUACAGAAUUGGUGGUCACGGAACAAGCAGCGUCCAUGCUGAGCAAUGUAUUCAUCUGUGAUUUUUGACUGUGUUAUAUGACGUCCGCAUUCUGAAGCUACAAGCAGGAGUGAGUGUUGGAAUUGGGUAUUCAUGCGCAAAUGGGAAUUGGAUAGUAAGCACGUCUGGAAGCCAAGGGUUUAUCAUGACAGAAGUCUUUGCCGUCCACUGAACUAGUCUCAUGCCAUGUUCGUGAUGCCGGCACCAUAUUAUGGUGCAUGUUUUAUGUUGGUGAGUUUAUGUCACACAUUUUCAUGUAUCUCUAGGGAUGGAGGGAGAGUUGUGAUCGUGCGGUGAGAUAAUGGUGAUGAGCUUUCAGAGGCCGGAUAAUACAAGAGAAAUUGGGCACAGUUGCUCGUUGAGAACGACCUCCGCGAGGGUUUUAUUGAGGUAUCUGUUUUCCCAACCUCUACGUCCGUUUAUGAAAUUGGGCAUGAGUGAAGAUUAGUGGUGCGAGGGACUUCUGUGCUGCAUUUAGAAUUACAUCACGUACCAAAUAUUGUUCAAGUCAUUGUGCGAGACAUUCUUCACGAGUACAGUAAGUCCGUUGGAGACUCCGAGUUUCUUCCCAUCACUUUAGAAGUUCGUUAUGUUUCUUACCUUCAUGGGGCGGCGGAAGCUCCAUGGUCUAUGUGUUUUUUGGAAGUAUCAUGUGCGAUUCUCUGGGAACGCGCGCUACAAUUGAAACGCACACUAUUUUUGGUUGUUUGUUUGUUUGUUUUUCUCUUGCUUUAGAUUCACUUAGAAAUUGCCAAUAACCGAAUUCGCGAAUGCGCCAACUGAGUUAAAGUUCCCCCAGUAGAGGAUCCUGGAGCCUAGCAUCCCAAAUAUAUUUCCCUGUUCUCAGUCCUGAACCAUACCAACUCCAUUGUUAUCGCUACUCUUGUUUUAGCAGCAGGAAGUGGGAAUCGCUUGCUUUGGAGUGCGUAUAAUAAUACAGCAUUGCGGUGGUCAAAAAAUAAAGUACUCUUCUGCACCCUGUCAUUACUAUCUCUACGUAUUCGAUCAAGCUGUUCACGAGCUCGUCGACUAGAUUUGAAGAGUUUAUUGUUCUGGUGCGAGCCACGGUACGAAAUUAUCGCAUUACAAUUACUAAGUGACGGCUUCUACACAACGUAAUUCGGAGGCGGUUUGCAUUGGCACCCUGAAUCAUACUGUGGUGCUAUUAUCCUCAAUUUGCAUCUGAGUGCUGUGUCUGUGCACCAGGGCACGAAACGGUACUUGAGGAGACUUCGUCCAGUGUGUGCUCGGAAUGGCGCCAGAGUUGAGGUUGAGGAGCUUGGAGUGGUUCGCCUUAAGAAAAGAGAAGGGAGAGACAAUGGAGAGAAAUUGCCAGAAGAUCUCGGGCUGAGGUUGGAGAUCAAGGCGAAGGCUGCUGCUUUUAUUAGCAAUGCGCAAUCGGCGAAAGGAGGUGAAGGGCUGCUUGGACAAAUACUCGGUGUGGAUCUCGGGUUGUGAAGACUGGGUUGUCAGUUAGUGUGGGUGGUUAUGAGCCUCGGUCUUCGACUGUAAAAUUUUUUAUACUAUAACAAUUUCGUUUUGCACGAAAUGGCUGUGGUAAUGUCACAGUGCAUCGUUUUCUCCAUGCAUCAAGUCUUUUUUAAUCACCUACUGUCUGCCAACUCAAGCACUACAUUCUGAUACGAGUGUGUGAGUACGGGACCACUUUUUACACUGUGUACUUUGUCGCUGAGCAAGAUUUGUCUCAUAACUAGAAAAGCAGCGGACCUGUUUGAUGCACCUCAUCUCUUAAGCCGGUCGUUUUAUAAUUUUUCUGUGAAUGUAUGGAGAGCCUCCUCUUUUGCAGGCUGUCAUGUGGAAGACGGUUUGUGCAAUUUCAAUCGAGUAAAUUGAAAAUAACGUAGCAGCAGAUUUGAUGUUUGAGAACAAAACCACAAAUCUGUCAUCUCUGCUAACAUCAGCCUUGUAAAUGAAGAAAUGUUGAAGGAACGGGUCGGUUACAAAGGAGUUCGAAAUUCUGCUCAUGUUUUCGACAGUAAUGUUAGGUUGUGCCCCAUAACGGUACUCAUACAUUUGACGUGUUUCUCAUGUACUCGGCAAGUUAAAACUGCGAUGGCAUCUGAUAGUUUGGUGUAGAUCUAAACCAUGACAACAGAGCAUGAGGGAUCAGAUAUACGUUUCAUCUCUAUUUGAUUCGGUUCCUAGUGAUGCACGAUGUCUGCUUCGAGAACGAGGAUUGUGUUCUUGUUUGGCUAAGCUGCGUCACUGCAGAAAGCAGGCGAGUUUGUAUUUAGCAAGAUUUGUGAACAAGGAUAUGUGGAUAAUCUCAAUUCUCUAUACUACCGCAGAAAACUGCAAAUAGGAAAGAAAAGCGGUCAACCUCGAACAUGUCGGAACAUGCGGAACUGUGCAGUACUCAUGGUAAUUGGUUGGAUAUGAUGCAGAGGCAAUAACAGACGGGAACAGAUUGUCUCGCAAGCGACAUGACGCUUAUGCUGCCUUGGUCAAGAUCAUACAUUCUUUUUCACUGCUGGCCUGAUGUUGAGAGAUCCUACUUGAUACUGACAGAACCACGUGACAUAGGAACAUAGCGUCUUUGUUUGCGAGGUUUCAUUUUAAGAUGGUCCAAAGCUCCUGCUGGUUGGUACUAAGGUCUCCUAUGGAUGGGGCAAUGAUGGUUCUGGAUGUGCGUCAUGUGAAGUUUACAGUUGCGUGAUCUUCAAUCAUCGAUGCAUAGACUGUGUUUGACUACCCAAUCAUUCGAAAGUCUGUCCUUUCGAGGCUGUUGAGCACAAACAGAAAUCUUCGGACGAAAGUUUCUGCGCAUCCAAAUAUCGCUUGCUUCUACAUGUGACAAAUUAGAACCUUUGUAUGGAUGGGUUGAGUCAAGCUUUCAAAUGGAGCAGGGUUAAGAAAGUGCUGGUUUUGUAAUUAGUAGGCAGGACUCAGGUGUAAGUCAAGUAUUUGUGUCUUUCUAAUCCUUCAACAACCUCUUGGCGAUAUGACACAAAUGGUGUCUUGUUAAGUAGACUGAAGUACGGAUUAAGUUAUGUUAACGAUGUUGCUGUCAUCCACAGGCGCUGCUGCUGCGGGGCUACUUGUAAUCCACUGGUUCUCGUGCUCGAUUACUCCUCCCCAAACCUCUCGACCUUCAGCGGCUCCCCUGUCAAUGGCCUUCAAUGCCUGUGCUUCCCACCCUCGAAGAUUAUAACGACGAUUGAAUGAUGAUUUUAACAAACCUCAAAGUUGACGACAGCUCAGCGCCUGUUUCGUUUUUUUCUCUCUCUCUUUCUUUCUUUCUUUCUUUCUUUCUUUCUUAUCCUUUUUUUUUUUUUUUUUUUUUUUUUUUUUAAAUGGUGGCUCACUGGGUGUAUAUUGUGAUCAGGAUGCUUAAUCGAUUCUUACAAAUGAUUCACCCGCGAUCUAGUGGGCGUUUCCAUGACUAAGUUGCAAAGCACUCACAAGCCACAUAUCUGCUGAUGGUCGGUGAAGUCAUGGGAAGUUGAAGAUGCAUUCAGUUCUUCCAUCUAUGCGCUUCCAUGAACUUACUCACACCUAUUACAUGACUCUUUACAUAAAAAUACUAUUGAGUACUUCCGGUGUGCUCCGCAUUCUCAUAGUAAGUAUGAAAUGAAGAAACAAUCCGAUUUGCCAAGCGCCCUUCUGCUGUUCGGUGUGGACAGCGAAUUGGUGAUGACUUUGUACAACUCAAAUUGGAAAGAAGGUAAUAUCCGUUCCAAGACUUCGGUUUUAUCCGAACAUGAUUCCAAGCAUUACUCCUUGUGAUGGAAUGCCUCUCACUGUAACAAGAAGCAGCAACAGAAACGCUCCACCUUGAACAUGUCCGAAAAGCCCACGCCAUCAAAACCUAAUUUGGAGCCUCAAGCCCUACUUGUCCUUGCUCAAUGGUGGGUCCUUUCCUUUCGUCAGUUGUUGAUUUGUCUUUUUCUUCUUCUUUUCAAAGUGGUACUGAAGUGACGUGGUCGUUUGGUUUAUUCUUUACUUUUAAGUUAGCUGAUGACGCAGAACAAUACUUUGCUUUCCUCUUUCACCUCCUUUCCUGGUUGGGGCAUCCGUGGAAAAAAUAGUUUGUUAAGAAGCAUGUCCACCGCGUCCUCAGAGCUGUCCAAUCAACGGGUGUGACACAAAUCCGCCAACCUCACACCCAUGUGUGGGAGUUGAACUUGUCAUCCCCAUCCAGGCGAGGACUAUCAUGUCCAGUGGUUUUUUCCCCCACUGCACACCUAAAAUACCAUACAUCACACAUGCUUCGUAAUUUCCUGCCGACCAUUUCCUCACCAGUGUCUGCUUGUCACUGUUGCAUAAACGUGCCGCCCGAUUCCAACCAUCACACACGCACACAUACUCACAUGUAGGGGGAGAGAAAAACUUGUUCAGUACCCAACAACGGGUCAUCCUGACCUCCCAAGCGCCAGCGACCUCACAAUCGUCCAGCUGGUCCCAGACUUGGCCACCAAGCAAGCUCAGCGUUCGGCAUUGACAAGGUCUCAGUUUGUGCCACUGUAGAACCCGUCGCAUGCGUCCCUGCAGCCCAGGUCAGGGUCGUUAGAAAGCAAGUGCUGGGGGCGUCGGAGCGGCGGAGAAUAGUUCUCCUGGGCAUGCAAAUGAGGCAAGCAAUCAAGCUGAAUGUCCACCCAGAUUCCAGCCCAUACCUCCGCCAUCGCCAUCCUGCCACACAGAGAGGGCCACAGAGCUAGAAGCCAGAAACCAGGAGGGGGGAGGGAGGGGAACCUUAUCUCGAUCAUUUAUUUGUAAUGUAUGUAUGUAUGUAUGUUUCUAACUUUAGUUUACUGGAGUUUGGAAACUAGGGCUUGUUAUGUUAUUCUGCUUGAUUUUUAUGUACAGUUAUUUUUCUCUGAAAUCCUAUACCCAGGUACUCAACUUACAACGUGUUGAUUUUUUCCUCUCUAUGUGUAUAUGUAUGUGUUCGUGUAUUUUUUGGAAUACAUAUUCAACCUUAUUAUUGUUUAAAAAGUCUAGUGCAUAGAUUUUGAACUUCGUACUGUUGAUUUGUUUUGUUUUGUUUUUGUUUUUUCUUGGAAGUUGAUAACAGUUCAUGUGUUUUGCCCUUGUAUUGAUAUUUAAGUGGUGAUGGAAAGAGAUAGAGACAUAGAAUAACUAUUUUGAUAAAUUUAACGAAAAAAUAUUGGUUGGGACAAGUGGAGUAGGUGCCACGUUUCAAUGUACUGGAAGAGUUGGAAUUGAAUUGUUGUGCUCUGAUGGACUUGAACACAAUUCACCUCUCCUUGGAAUACAUAUAAUGUUUUUAAAAACAUGAGCAUCAUUUUUUAAGUAUUUUGUCCACAGUUCAAUGUUUUUAUUCCUUAAUUUAUUCUAUUUAGGAAAAAAAAUUGAAUUUUGUUUGAAAGUCCAAACAUGUUUUAUCAUAACGCAUUCAAUAAUACCAAUGACUUUGGCUUUUUUUAAUAUAAUUUUCUUUUCUUUUCUUAUUUUUAAAUUUAGAUUUAACUUGUAGAUGCAUUUGACUUGUGAGAAAUUAUAUAUAUAUAUAUAUAUAUAUAUAUAAUAAAUCCUAUGAUAUGAUCCCUCUUUAGAAUGCAAAAGAUCUUUUGAAGAAAAAGACUAGUAACUUAUUUUUGCUUUAAAAAAGAAAAAUGUAAUCAUGAAGAAUUUAUAUUAACUCCAAAUUGUGCAAUUCAUGUACACAAAACUAAUUGAUUGUGUAUACAACUAAUCAAUUUCAAACAAAAAAGAUAUCACAUCUCAUUAAUAAUGUUGGUUUUUAUUAUAUUCCAUGUAAGUUGUUUAAUUAUAUAUCCCCUAAAUACCUAGUCAUUAGAUGUGUAUUAUUUGAAAUGUAUUAUUUUAGUUUUUCCAAUGUUGUUAAUGUUUUACAUGGCAAGUAUGAGAAUUGGUAUGUGACACAUUCAAGAUUAGGGUGUAAUCCCAUUAUGGACUUAGGUUUGUGUUACGAGAGGGUUUAGGAUCUCACAAUGAUUUUGUGAAAGUAUAUGGUUUGUGGCAUAUGCAAAUGGGAGUUGUGGGUGUGUGGAUUAGUGGCGGCAGAGAUGGUGCAACGUGUUUGGAUAGAUGUUGUGGUGGAUUGUUUGCAUGGAUCUUAUGAAGAUAGUUUGUGGCAAUUGAUGAGCAAUGUAUGAAAUUAAGAAGCUCCAAUAACAAGAUGUUUUGGAUGGACAAGACAAUGGUGUUCAAGUUGUGUUGAAUAUGAAGUUACUUCGGAAGAAACUUGUGAUACAAUUCAAAAGAUUACAUUACCAUCUAAUUAAAGAGAUAGAGUACAAAGAAAUAAGAAACUAUGAGUAUGACAUAAAAUGUUGUAGCCAGAGACUACAAAAGAUAUCAUGUGCUAGAGAUAGUCAGGAUCAUAUCCAUGUCUAAUUACUUCCACAAAGUUCAAAUCCAUAAGUAGAAAGGAGUACUUCCAACUACCAAAAUGAACCUUCUUUAUUAUUCAUAUCCUCUAACUAAUGCUCAAACUAAAUCAUUCAGCAUAGAGUUCUUAUCAUUUCUUAUAAAGAACUAAAAUUUCUAUUACAAUAGAACUAUAGUGCCUCAUUUGCUACAAAUCAAGUCAAUCUCAUUCACUCAACCAAUUAAACUAGUUCCAUAGUCCAAGAAACAAAGAAAUUGUGACAUGUAAGAACAAAAUCCUAUUAGUAAACUCAUGCCAUGUGCCAAAUGUGUUCAAAAUCAAUUUUGGUUAUAUUAAUGAAGUUCUUUGUAGUAGUGGUUAUAUAUUGAAUUAAUUGGUAUACAAAUAAAAACAUAUUGAGUGAAUAUUAUGAUUUUUUUUGGAAUUAGUGGACAAAUUAAAUUACUUACCGUUAUAAUUAUAAUAAUACUAUUAUUGCUAAAAAUAUUGAGUUGUGAAAUGAUCACAAGUAUUUUAAGAUUGCUUAAUGUUGCAAAAAUCAAGAAAAUUAAUGGUGUUUUUGUAAAUUGUAGAUAUUGCAAAUGUAUCAUAUAUCAUUUAGCAUUAAAAUCUAUAACAAAAGAAAAAAAAUCAUUAAAAAUAAUAAUUAUAUCAAUCCAAUUAUCUAAUUCUUUGCACCCAUUUAUAGCAAGUUGUUAAAUUAUGGUUAGAUAAUGGAUAUCAAAGGAUUAUCAGUUACAAUUGUAUUAAUGAUAAUUUGAAUAAGUAAAGAUAUAAAUCUUUUUAUAUUUACUAGCUAAUAUAUUUAAUAAUAUAAAAUACUGUUUUAUUAUAUUUUAAAUUUAAAAAACUAUUCAGUUGUAUUUGUAUUUUUUGAUGUUAAUAUAUAUAUAUAUAUAUAUAUAUAUAUAUAUAUUUCUAGGGCUGAUACUUUUAUUUUUUAUUAUCUAUUUUAUUAUACAUUAAAAUGAAAAAAUUUAGCUUUUUAAAAAUACUUUGAAUUUCUUUCAAUUUUAAAUGCUUCAAAUUCUACUUGUGACUUGCAUUCAUCAUUUUGAAACAAGUAAUAAUCAGUUCACAAUAAUUAUGUUACUUAAUUUAAUUAUGAUUUAUACAUUGUACUAUAAAAUAGAAAGAAAGAAAAAAAAUCAAAAUUAUUUAAAUGUAAAUUAAUAAUUUUAUAGAAUUUUUUACUAAAAUAAUUUUAAAAUGGCUAAAAUAAAUACUUGGAUAAAUUUAUAAAUUUAAUUCAAUACUUAUUGGGUAAUGAUUUAGUUUUCUUUCAUUUGUUUAGAAUAUAUGAAAAUAUAUUUGCCAAUAAUUCAUCAUGUUUACAUCAAUAAAUCAUAAAUAAUUGAGUAUAUAUAUAUAUAUAUAUAUAUAUAUAUAUAAUUUUAAAAAUUCAAAUAUAAGACCUUUUUAAUUUUGAUAAAUUAAAAAUAAAAUAUAUUAGUAUCUUUGCCAUGAAUUACAAAUGAUUCUAUUGUUAUGUAUAUAUUCUCUUUCUUUUCUUUUCUUUUUAUAGUUUUUAUAGUUUAGUUUAGUUUAGUUUUUUUUUUUUAAUCAACAAUUCUUUAUGAGUGGUCAAAUUUUGAUUUAGCAACUAUAAAUUAUACUUUUACAGCUUUUUUGUAGCCAAGGGCACAGAUUUCCAGUAUAUAUAUAUAUAUAUAUAUAUAAUGAAAAUAUAUGUUUUUAUUAUUACUACUAUUUGACUAGUUGAUACAAGUGGUUAUAUAACCAUUUGAGAAGCUAUUAAUACUUGGCAUAUUUAUUCUUAAUAAUAUCAUAUUAUAUUAUUUAAUAAAAAUAUAAAUAUUAUUUUCUUGAUUUUAUGAAAAAAUAUUUGGUUUUCAAAUGUUCACAUUUUGAUGCACUAUGAGCUAAUAAUUAUAAAGUAAAUAUUCUUAUUUUAUGUAUUGUGCUCAUAAUUUGAUCAAAAAUUUGCAUUCAUUCCUAAUUCUAUUAAAUGAUCAAAUACUUAAUGAAUUACUUGAUACAAAAAUAGUACUAAAUAUCAUGUGAGAAAAAAGAGAUUAUUGUGUGUUUAUCAAUACUUCUACACCAUGCUAAGUAUACAAGUGUUUAUCAAAACACAUGCAAUAUCAAUUAUAAAGAAAGAAAAUAAUACAAAUACACAACUUGGAUUUACAUAUGUGUGUAUGUAUGUGUGUGUAUAUAUAUAUAUAUAUAUAUAUAUAUAUAAUGGAAUGUUAAAUAGACCCAAGUUUUUAUUAAAUCAACCUAUCCAUGAUGAAUGUGGUUGGUUUUUAUUGGUUUUUUUAUCUAGUGGUGAAAUUAAUCUAGAGGUCAUUUGUUUUCAUGAUAGUUAGGACAGAUGGAUCAUUUUGGUAAAAGCGUGGGUCUAUUUAACAUUCUCCUAUAUUUAUGCCUACCCAAUUUAUUCCAUAACAUUUAUGCACAACCUAUUUAAUCCAAUGAUAAGAAAAUUCAGAAUAGAAUCGAGAAAGUAAAAGUGACAAAACAUUAAGCACGUGGUAAGAACUCAAAAAGUAAAAGUGGACCAAAAACAUUAAUCGCAUAUCGAGGGGACAUGACAGCUGACACGUGGCGGUGCGGUUUCGCGGGGUGCCUAACUGGGCAGGUGUCGUCCCGACCGCGCGGUUCGCACCGUUUGGAUCGCCGAUCUUGUGGUAGUUAAGCGCGGUUGGCAAUAAAAGGGAUGCCCGUGUGGAAGGGCCUCUACAAGAGGAGUGUUUGUGCAGCGAAAGGAUCCUCCUCCUCCUUCAGCCUCUCGCAGGUUGGAAUUCAGCUGUCCAGGCCCUCGUCCUUCACUUCUCCUCCUCCGCACCCUCUCGCCACCAUCACCGGGUAUGCAUGCUCUUGUUCUACUACUCUUGGGUCUCUUUUCAUCCUUCUUUCCAACACACCCCAAUUCACAGUGUUCUGUUAUUUUGAUCUAGCACCCGGUCAACCACUGGUAGAAGGCUUUUUGGUGAUUCGUGGUGUGAAGGGGGUGCUUGAUGGCUAAUUUCCGUUUCGGAUCCUUCGUUUAGUUUGCAAGGAUUAGCAUCAGAAAUGUUUUGGUACUGAGUUCUAGGGUUUUGAUCUAAUUGCUUAUUGUGUUUUGACUCGUAGUAAGUGACUUGGUGUUUCGAGCUUUUCCUUAAUUUUAAGAAUCUGUGUUCUAAGAGUGACAACCGCUACGAGAAGCGUGUGAUUUAUACCUUAAACUCGAAGAGUUUUUGCAGGUAAUCGAAGAUGGGUAAGGAGAAGGUUCACAUCAACAUUGUGGUCAUCGGCCAUGUCGACUCCGGCAAGUCUACGACCACAGGCCACCUGAUCUACAAGCUGGGAGGGAUCGACAAGCGUGUGAUCGAGCGCUUUGAGAAGGAGGCGGCUGAGAUGAACAAGCGUUCGUUCAAGUACGCGUGGGUGCUGGACAAGCUGAAGGCUGAGCGCGAGCGUGGUAUCACGAUCGAUAUUGCGCUGUGGAAGUUCGAGACCGUGAAGUACUACUGCACUGUGAUCGACGCUCCCGGACAUCGCGAUUUCAUCAAGAACAUGAUUACGGGAACGUCGCAGGCGGACUGCGCAGUGCUGAUCAUCGACUCCACCACCGGAGGAUUCGAGGCUGGUAUCUCCAAGGAUGGGCAGACCCGUGAGCACGCACUGUUGGCUUUCACCUUGGGAGUGAAGCAGAUGAUCUGCUGCUGUAACAAGGUGGGGGGAGUUUGAGAUUGUGUGGAGGCACGUGAUAUGUUGAUGUUUCUUUUUUAUGCAGCGUAAGGGUGUUAGAAAUCGAUUGAGGGAUUGAACAUGUGUUUGGGUGACGAGCGAUGUGGGGUGGAGUGGUUCGGUGGAAUGACAGCCUUGGUGGUGGCAGAUGGACGCGACGACGCCGAAGUAUAGCAAGGCUCGAUUCGAUGAGAUCAGCAAGGAGGUGUCGACGUACCUCAAGAAGGUGGGGUACAACCCGGACAAGAUUCCGUUCGUGCCCAUUUCAGGGUUCGAGGGUGACAACAUGAUCGAGCGAUCGACGAACUUGGAAUGGUACAAGGGUCCGACGCUUCUGGAGGCCCUGGACAACGUGUCAGAGCCGAAGAGGCCAUCUGACAAGCCCCUGCGGUUGCCCCUCCAGGAUGUCUACAAGAUCGGAGGUAUUGGAACUGUGCCAGUGGGACGUGUGGAGACUGGAAUCAUCAAGCCGGGUAUGUUAGUUACCUUCGCACCCACUGGACUGACGACUGAGGUGAAGUCGGUGGAGAUGCACCACGAGUCGUUGUUGGAGGCGCACCCCGGAGACAACGUCGGGUUCAAUGUGAAGAACGUGGCUGUGAAGGACCUGAAGAGAGGAUACGUGGCUUCGGACUCGAAGAACGAUCCUGCAAAGGAGGCCGCCAACUUCACUGCCCAGGUUAUCAUCAUGAACCACCCGGGACAGAUCGGAAACGGUUACGCGCCGGUGCUGGACUGUCACACUUCUCACAUUGCCGUGAAGUUUGCCGAGAUCUUGACGAAGGUGGACAGGCGAUCGGGUAAGGAGCUGGAGAAGGAGCCCAAGUUUUUGAAGAACGGAGACGCAGGAUUCGUGAAGAUGGUACCGACAAAGGCAAUGACUGUGGAGACUUUUGCACAGUACCCACCAUUGGGACGCUUCGCGGUUAGGGACAUGAGGCAGACGGUGGCUGUGGGUGUUAUCAAGGCGGUAGAGAAGAAAGAACCGUCUGGAGCGAAGGUUACUAAGGCCGCUGCCAAGAAGAAGUGAAUAUUGCUGGAGACGAGCGGGGUGAAGCAGUUAGGGGCUGACCGGGUCAGGGUUGGGUUUGGUGUUGCGGCAUUGUUUUGGAGGGUGCGGUUAUUGUUUUGCCUGUGUGCUUGUUCAAUAUACUUGCUGCAGGCGAGGGAGAAGCAGAGGCAGACUUGGGUACUGGACAGAAGAUGGCAGGGCUCGUCGGAUCCGCGACAGUGAAUGUUAUAUUUAUACGUGAAUAAAGUACUUUAUGUGGCCUCGACAUUGGGGUGGACAUAAAGCUAGUGAUGGUGUCUUUGGAAAGGACGUUGUGCUGGUGGUAUGGUUAGUGUUAUAUGUAUGUGAGGGUGCAACGAAGCCAUUACGUCAAGGAGAAAUUUUGAAUUCUCGUCUGAGCUGUUUAAGUGCACUUCACAUGGAUUUGGGAAGGGCAACAAGUUAUUCGGAUUACAUAAUGUGAACUGGAAUUUCUAGUUUUGCACUUUAUAACAAGUGUUACAAAGCAUGUUGAAUUGAUGUGUAUUAGAAUAUCCAUUCUUUGGAUUAUUUUAUAAUUCUUGCUGCAAUGCCUUAACAAUGUGUCAAUAUAGGUGAUGAGUUGAUACCAUUUGUUACCGGAACGUGGCGUCGCUUUGAACAUUCAGAAGAAUUUUGGUUGCUGGUAAUGUGGCUCAGAACCUGCGAGAUAAUAUUUGGAUUUACUUUCCGGUUGAAUGCGUGCAAACAUGUUGCAUAAGUAAUGUUUGUAGUUAUCAUCUUAUGUACGGACCCAUCGUUUUGUGAUAAGUAGCAUAUUAUAUACAAUCUGUCUUGUCAUUUUAUCUGAAGAUGCAACAAUCCUUGUCAAUCUAAAAGCACUCAGCUUAUAUUAAUAUCAAUUUUCAGUUUACAGACAUUGCAUAGAAUGAAAAUUUCAUUUCAAGAGGAGCUCAAUUUCCUCACAUUCUGUUUACUGUUUGAGAUAUGGAGGAUUCAAUGCAAUGGGAAAAGCCCAGCAAUGCAUUAUUCAUCAAUAGUGGCUUAAUUUGUAAGCAGUCUGCUGACACAGAUAUCAACAGUGGAGAAAUUAGAUGUGAACGCAGCUACGUUUUAUAUUUUUUUGUCUUAUGUACAGAUAAGAAUUGAAUCUGCUACUUCGCCCUCAUGACACAUCAUUGGCAUAAGAGAUGUACUAUCAUUCUAAAACCUUUCUCUAGUUAUUACAUUCCACAUCUGGUUAAAUCCCUGCAACUCCUCACUGACAAUCGUUACCUAGAAUAGAAAGGACACAAUUCUGUUGUGUCUCUAUCAGUCACAGGGAUCAGGGUAGUAAUUAUAGGAGGUUGCGACUGAUCCCUGGCACAUUUUAGUAGCCCAAAAUACUCUUUGGGAGUUUCACUAAAGCUUCAACAUCUGCAGGUUCACCUGAAAACUUCCGAGCAAAUAAAAAGCAGGGUGAACUAGGUCGUCCGUUGUAUAUACACGUUUGCAUGGUGUGAUUUAAGUCGUCAGACGAGUCCAUAUAUUGCCCAUCCCUGUUUUCUGUCCUGUUCUGAAUCUUCCGGAACAGCUCGAGGUUUAUAUGCGAGACAUUGUGCUUCAAAGGGGAGUCCCCGUGUUUGGGAUUGGACCAGUCUGCGUAAGUGACUGACCGAUUGGCGAUUCCCUGCACGCGCUCCAAGUGCACAAAUUAAUCAUGCUCCUCAUCUGCCUUGAUGUUAAAAUUAUGAAUCAAGACAUGUAAAUUCCAAAUUUCUUAUUGAACGAAUUACUACACAUUGGUCUACUCCUAUGAAAUUUUUUGUAGAAAAAAUUGAUUGUACACACUAACCCAGAAAGAUUUGCACCAGCGUAGGUCAAAUUCCUUCUGGUGACUUGAGCCUGAUAUAAACCUCCAGGCCAUGUUGAGUUUGCUAAUUUUGAUUGUUUACACAAUGCACACCCAAUUAUAAAUUGACAGUUAUUCAUGUAGAAAGUGAUCAGAAAGAGCCAAGAGAUAGAUCGAGGGCUCCCCACUAAGACAUUGUGGCAAUCAAGCAGUCGCCUUGAAAGCAAAUUCUAAUUCCACGCGGUAUAACCUUUGCGAAGUACCAAACUCGUCACCACAUGCUUCCCAAAGCAAUGUUGCCGCUACGUACGGUAAAUUCCUUCAGUUUAGCAUACGAAUCUAGCAAUCUCUAAGGCGAAAGAGAUAUCAACUGAAAGCAACGUCAUCGCCGACAUAUAAACCUCAUGACAUUCGCAACUGCUGACUCAUCCAGCACUGAAGUUAUGUGCUGGAUUGUACUUAUGAUAUUUAGGGCUAUAUCUGGAAGUGCAAGCUACUACUAGGACAAUUUUGUCACAUGAAGUUCUGAUGCUCAAGUGCAGAACCAUGUUAGGACGAAUCAUGUAAUUCGAGCACCAUAUCUACAAGAACACACCAUUCUCCUGAAAGUAAUUCCAACGUGAAUGCGGCUUCUAUUUACUACGAUCUGUGGCUAUAUCCAGACUUAACCCAAUCCCCACUUACUACACUCUGACAAAUUCAAGUACUUCUCUCAUCACAUCGCGUGGACUCUGUUCCCCUUCUUAUUGCAGACUCGGACUUUCAUUCAUAUUGAUCCUUUAUCAUUAACUGAAAUGAAUUAGACAUGAAGUGGUUGGAAGCAAUUCAGAGACUGUAAAAAAUACAUCAAAUCACAGCAUGAGGCAUUCAGAUUUGUAAUUCCCUCACCUUGGGAUCCAAGAUAUGGAGCAGAGUCUGUACAUACUCCUCAUCAAGGACGCAGUCGUCACGGCAAUCGGCUUUGAAUUUGCGGUAAAAUGUGACAUCACCGACCACCAUUCCGGCAUGGCGGCGGUGCAUGGACACCCAUAGCUCACCCUUGUGAAGCUGCUCCAAUUUGAACAGGGGCUCCGUGUGCCACCGCUUGAACCUACAACAAUUCAAUCAAGGCAAAAACUCAGUUACGUGGAGAGAUCAGUAAAAUCAAACUCCAAUGCAUUCUAAAUGAGAUUCUUUCAAGCUGAGGCUUAUGGAAUGAUCGGAUCAAAGAGAUCAACCUCUUCAGUGGAGAAUAGGAUUCGACGAAGCUCGUGGUGGAGUUCAUGAAAUAGUCGUAAACGUAAGGAAAGCUCCGAACUGGCAUGCACGCCUCAGAGACUAGCAUGAACCACAUAUUAGCUCUGCCUGUGUCCAACAAGGCAAAUGCCAGCAAUCUGCGGACAACGUCUACAAGAGUAAUAUCGAAGCGCUUUACUUCCUUGGUUGAAAUGGAUCUGUUGUGGAAGACGGACGAGUUCGGAAACUGGUUAACCCACCAGCUCGCGUGAGUAUAUAUAGAGUAGGAAUCAUUAUCCGCUCCCGCAAAGAAUCGCUCCCACAGAGGCUCAAGUGGGAUCUCCUUCCGAAGGAUGAAUAGGAAUGCAAUUUUGGGUUUUCCAUCUGGUAGAGGAUUGGUCGCAGCGUCUUGAGCAGCAUGGAGAAGCUCCGAAUCCUCAACCGAUACUUUGAAAUACUUGUCGACAUCUAAAUCAUGAGUGCUGCUUCCUGGUUUCACGUAAUCUUUGCAGGGGAGGUAAGAAUUGGGAAACGUCGAUUCUGGUAACCUAGAAGUGGGGUCAGUCGACACAACCCUGGGGUGAGUACAAUUUUGACAAUCCGCUGAGGCUUGUGGGGAGAGCCGACCGAUAGUGAAUUCGGCGGGAAUGGGACUCGGCUGCGAGUCGAUCAAGAACUUGAAAAACAUGAAGGAGCCUAGUAUUAGGACCACAAUGCCCCCCCGGGUGAGCCACACAUCUUGCUGGGACUUCAGAAACCCCAGACGGCCGGAGUUUGAUGGACUAAGCACGUUUGUCAUCGUCGACGAAUACACUCCUCGUCUCGGGAGGAUCUGGACGGGCAAAAUUUCUCUAGACACUACGCAUCUUACACUUCAUAUGAAGCUAGAAAAAGUUCCUGCAUCGACAAAAACAUAUAAAGAAGUAGGCAGCCUCACAAUUUAUUCUCCUCCCAGAACGGACUCAACUGAGUGAAAUUCCAUGAAGACUCACGAUACAACCCAUUCAUUGUCCGAGCUUCGAAGAAGUAGAAAGGUCCUGGCCCUCGUUUUUUUACGCAGGCGAAGGGCAAAAUUCAGAGAAAGAUAGGAGGGCAACAAGAAUUAGAGGAACGAAGAGGAAAACAUCGCUCGAAAGUAGUACUUCCAGUAGUCAUAUGAUUUCAGAUCGCAUCAGAAAGUGAUCACAAACUGGGUUGAUAGCUUGGCCAGUUGUAAUGCUGACAAUCAAACAGAUUUGAAUUGAAGAGUGUCAGUCACUCCGACUACAUGGACUGCGUUUGCCGCACCCUACCGCUUGUCAACGCAAGCAGUCCUCUACAGCUCAUUUUUGCAAAGCUCAUCCUGGAAACAAUCCAACCACUUGAUAUAACCUACGCUUAAGAGACAGGGAUCCAGAUACCGCGUUACAUCGAAAAAGGGUAGGAAUAUAAAUCUCAUUUACAACAGUGACUAGCACUGAUUGCAGACCAAGGCGACUUCGACCACAAGCCUUUGUCCAGUGCACCAACAAAGUGUCCCGUGACAUGUACAGACUGGACGGGUUCUCACAGGAUGAUACGGAAAACAGCUUCCUCAGCCUCCCUCAGAUGAGCCACCUUCAGAAGUGAAGUGAUUUGCGUAAUCUAGGAAAUGCUCCAUGCUUGAGAGAAAGUUCUCAUUAUGAUCCCAGAAAGAAUUUCUUUUGAAAAAUUCGUGUGACAAAUGGCGUACUACUCAGUUGACCGUCAAAAGCCACGCAGAUGACUGCCAAAUCAUUACCACACGAAUUGAAAACUCUCAAACGAGCGGUGUUGCAGGCAGUUGCAGAACACCACGGGCUGUGGGCACCCACCAGCUCGAUGAUCACACUGCAUCGACCAGACACUAGCUCUACGGACAAAAGAAAACCCAGACCUCCUGGUGCACCUCGAACGACACAAGCCAAAGUCAGGAUUCUCCCUCAAUAAUUCUUCCUUCCAUUAGCUUUAGAAGGCCACGACCAAGACAGGCAGACACGAGAAGGGCUAUCGUGGCGGUAAUAAAACCAAAAGUGUCUGGUGCCGAAGGAAAAAAACAAAACUCUUUGAGAGUGAUGACGUGAGCUGAUGCAUCUAAACAUUUGCACUCUACAUCUGCGGUCCAAAAAGCAGCAGUCAUUCUUUCCCCGUGUGCAUGGGACGCUGACCUAAAUAUAUAAAAAAUAAAAAACCACGGCUUGCAGGUUAUCGGUCCUUUACGCAUUGUUUGGCUCAUGUCCCACCCGCUUUGUUCUCUCGUCCCCAGCUGCGACGUCAUCAACCUAGUAGUGGACAGACCCUGUGGUGACCCAGUCCCAGCGAUGACCAGCUCAUGGUGAGCGGCCAAGUCAAGGUGAGUGUGCCUAUGUGUGCCUUAAAAAUACGGUGAUUAGAACUGACUUGACUCCUGCCCUCGGCCUCAAACUGCGAGGCACUUGUCACUAGGCAUCCUCAAACUCACCACCAUUGUCCUGUUCUUGUCCUACACACCCACACACUCACUCACUCACACACCCACACACUCACUCACACACCCACACACACACUCACCCCCACAAACACACACAUACACAUAUACACUGGGUGUUGUGGAUGGUCAGCUGUAGACUCACGGAUCCAACUUCAUAGCGAUCUAGGCGCAGCAUUACCUAAGGUGGGUACUCUUCUGCUUCUUCGACGCAAGAUGAGGAUGCAGAUCUGAGCACUGAGGCGGCGAUUGAAACGAGACGUUGUGGAGAAACGCACAACGGCGAAGCUUGUGCUUGCAAAGGCAACAGGGCUGUGGCGGUGGCACCAGGAGCUGCGUGUUUGUGGUCUGCAGACGAAUGUGAUGCUUUCUUACAUGGGUGGUUUUGUAUAGACCUUGUGGUUGAGUGCGUAAAAUAUACUAAACAAAUCAACAACAUGCAAUGUCUCUAUGACUGUGUGUGGAAAUGUAUGUGCAUAUAUAUAUAUAUAUAUAUAUACACACAUGGUGAGUAGAAUUUUUUACCAGUGUUUACUUUUAAUACUUCUAACAAAAGAGUUGGAAGAUUUAUUUUUAUUUUUUUGGAGCAGUUUAGUGCUGCAAUGAUCUUGAUGAAUAUAACCUGAUGCACUGUAAAGUGCAACUGCAGUUUAUGCCACUCAAAUAAGCAAAAAAUAGAAACAGAAAUAAAUAAACAAACAAACAAAAAGGUAUUACGUUUUGUGUAAACUAAUUGAAUGUUUAAGAACAAUAUUAGUUUAAAGCACAGCACUCCAUAAAUAAAUAUCACAUAAAAUUAAUACAGUAAGGAAUAAUAUAAUUAUCUGAAAAAUGUAUAUUUCUUGAUACCCAACAAAAGAAUAGUGUAGAUCAAAUUGUUUUUAGUUUAUUAAACUUUUUAGAACACAUUUUAUGCUAAAUAAGAACAUUUUUAUCUUUGUAUGUAUGUAUGCAUGCAAUAUAUUUUACAUGAGAAAUGUCAAUACUAACGAUUAAUCAAUAAACUUUUAAAAAUUAUUGUUUAAUUAAAGUAGGAUACUUUUGUCAUUUUCAAUGCCCAUUGUUGUUUCAUAAAGCAAAUUGUGGUUGGACAAUCUUCAUCCCUUACAGUGUGAUUUUGUAAAUAAUAUAAGAUGCAUCUCAAAUGCACCACUAAGAUUAGCUAAUAAAUAAAACUAAAAUAUUCUUUUGAUUUUGCAUUACUUUGCUUUGGUUGAAUCAAACAAUUCUCAAUUCCAAUUCUUGGACUUGUUUGCUUGACAUUAUAUGGAUGUUUAUCGCUCAAUUACAAAACCCAAUAUUUUAUUUAUUUUACGUGAAUGGUUCAAAAUGAUUCCACACGGGCUACUGAUUAGCUCUCAAAGAAGCAAAGACUCCUUUUGCAGGACCUGUUGCAUUGUUUACUCUAAUAAAGGUGGUUAAUGAACAAUAUUUUCUACCAAAUUUGUGAAAAAUAAUAAUUGAAAGAGGUUAUUUUAAUAUGUAUAAAUUAUUGGCUUCACCAACCUUCUAAAUAUUUGUUUAAAUCCACAAAAAAAUGAAAUCGUUGUAGGCAUCUAUAAUGAUUUGCAUAUAGAAAUUUGAUGCGAUUGUAGAAUGAGAUGAGAUUCUCUCAAGAGUGAAACCGUAUGGAAAUUGUGAUAGUUUCAGGUUUAAAUAUUUUUAUGAUAUUGUAAGAACACAGGGCGUCGAAAUUGCUUGAAACCAGUCAUGUUCAAACUUAGUAGAGGACAAUGGUAUUAACUCCUUUGAUUCUCCAAUUUAAAGCAUUUGUUUCUGUUAAAAUUUGAAUGCUUCAAAGAUAGAUUUUCAUACACUUUAGGCCUACCAUCCAAAAACAACUAUAAUUCUAAUAAAUAACUAAACACAGAUAAACAGAGAAAUCAAUUUGAAAUCAAAAUCAAAUUUUCUAAACAAAAUUUUAUUUGUGUAAUGAGAAGAUACUAGAAUGAAACAUUUAUGGAGCGUUUAGAAUGGUACGCUGUGAUUCGUUAAUAAAGGAGCAAGUUGAUUCUGUUCAGUAUAUAAAAGUACACUACAGUAAAUAAAUAAACUAUCUCAUUCCCUCUAUAUUUGAUUAUUUAUUUAUAGUUAUGCAUCUGUGCGUAUAUAAAUAUAUAUAUAUAUAUAUAUAUAUAACUAUUCUUUGAGUGGCUUUGAAUCAUUUGAAGAAAAAUUUAGUCUCUGCAUGGUAUACUUUAUAGAUACAUAUAUAUAUAUAUAUAUAUAUAUAUACAUACUUGCAUGGAUGCAUGCAGAAUCUCCUGUAAAUUUGAUUUAAUAAAAAAUUAAAUCUUCAAAUAUCUUGAAUUAAAUUUUGUACGUUGUAUUUUCUCUACGAAUUAAAGUCACUCACAUAUUAUGAUUUUAUAUCCAAUUUUUUAAAUAUUGUGAGUUGUUACCAUAUUAUAUUAAUAUCAAAACCUGCACACAAUUCAAGUCAUCUAUUUUAAAUUUACAUUCACAUUCAAAAUACAGGUUGCACUGUUUCUUUGUAUUGACAUGGUUUUGUAUUAUAUUUCGUUCAUUAUUCUUGGUACCAUAUUUAUUUUCUUAGUCGUCCUUGAAACCGUAACCUUCAAAUAAGUUACUUUAUUUAGUAUUACAUCAUCGAUUUUCGCUUUUAGAUGGGGUUAAGAUCCAAAAGCCCACUUUAAAAGAUCCUGGUAUUAAAAUCUUGUGAAGAUCUGUUUCUUAGUGAAGAAAUUAUCCUGAAAAAAAGAUCUGGUCUUUGAAGUAAUAAAAUGUGAGAAUAGGCAAUCAAGUGGGUGGAAGAUAAACUAUUUUGAUUCAAAAAUCUUUCACAUUCUAUCUCAAUUUUAAGAAGUUUGAUGCUGUAAAUUCUUUUGAAGAUUUUGAGUGAUAAUAUGAAGCAGUCUUUCACAAAGCAUCUUAACUUUUUGUGGAUUACCACCUCCUGAAGUGGAACUAUGUGUGCAAAACUAGUCAUGCUAUGUGAGAGGAAUACAAAUUUCGCCUCAUCUCUUCCAUUUGUUACCUCCUGCUAGAUUUCCUUAAUAAAAAACAAGUUUAAAUAAAGAUAUUUUCGAUAUCAACAAUUUCAAACUUAGAAUACUGCUCUCCUAGACAUAGAGACAACGUAUAUAAACAGUUUUUAUUUACGUUCUUUAAAUAAUAUUCAUUUGUUCUGCUUCCAAAUCCCUCAGAAAGAACCCUCUCCCAUCUUACCAACUUCUUUCCUUAAAUGUUAGGCCACCGUUCAGGCCACUUUUUCGGAGCUCCUUGCGCCAUGAAUUACUCAUACGGCUUGUUGUAAAAUUGUGAAACAACUAGUUCUAGAUAGUUCUGGGUAAGUGGUCACAGUUUUGCAAUUGUACCCUAUUCUACUUAAGCCCCAGAACCUGUGCAACGGUAACAGAUUUGACAUGUCUCCUCAGAAUUAGUCUGUUUUGAAGCAUCCAAUAACUGUUAACGUAUGAUCAUAGUAGCCUUCCAAUCAAACAACACCUUUGCAAACGUUACCAAUCACACCUUCCCAUUCAGGUUUCAUAUGAUAUUUACAGGAUUCACCACGGGUAUUCAACCCACCAUUUCACAUCUAGAGCCUACAACUUUCAUUGCUAGAACGUUUUGUCUGAAUUUUAAUCCAAUUUGAAGACAUGCCGCAAAAAUACCCAAAAGUUCCACCUUCGUUGUGGGGUAUCGACAUGCCCUUAGUGGUCACGUAUCUUACAUUGACCAAACCUUUGCAUUCCCCACUUCCACAAACAGGGUACACAGAACAGUCCGAUGACUAAAAGUAGGAAAAAUAUAAGAUAGUUAACCCAUCCAUUCACAGAUCCUAAGAUUUUAAAUUCACAAGUACUACAUACACUAUCAUGGCCUACCAAUAGGCGUAACAUGCGAAGGUUACCACUGUAAACGAAAGAGGAGCCACUUCAGAAAACCUUUUAAUCAGUCACCACCGACUCUGGAUGCUAAUUAUUGCUCGAGGCAAAAAUUCAGUACACAAGAACUCAUCACACAGAACAUACAGCCUGCAAACUGAAACUCAUCCGCAAGUGUGACGGCCAUGAGGUAAGUCACUGAGAAUAUAGGGAAACACAACACACGCACACACACAUGAACACAAACAUGGGUGGCAAUUUCAUGGACUCUGUUCAGGUAAAAUAUCCAUAGCGUAAUCAGCCGUUUAAAAGAGCUCCUCAAAGCAUUGGUUGCCUCAGUACAAAUCACCUAUUUCUUAACUCCACUGCGCCACAGCAGAAAAUAUGAGCGCUCCGCGUUCCCAUUUAGCGGUACUGGAACACGGAACACAGUCGGGCAACAUCAACGCAUUGAAAUCAAAUAAUUAAAACGCCAAAAGAGUGCACGAUCUCACCGAAAAAUCGUUGUGUUCUGCAAACCCGCGAUAGAAAAUAACUCGUUCAAGAAAAACUGAACAAAAAGUAAUACCUUCACGAAUCCAAUGUCCUUGGAGUAGAUACGGAAGCACUGACGGCAAGUGUUGAUGCCGUACUUGCGAAUCAUUCCGCAUGAGUUCCCGCACACCCGGCUGCACACACAAAGGAAUCCCGCAAACUGUAUGAGUUUUCGCAGCAUGAUGUAAUUCACACUGCUAUCGACUCCAUCAGACAGUGCCCAAAGCGCGGACUUCUGACCGAUGAACGGGAUCAUUACAACGAGGAAAAAACAACUCAGUCACUCUCAAUAGUGUAUUUCUUUACAACCCACAAAUGGUUAUCGAGUCCAGUUGUAAAAUACCGAGCGAGAAUAUAAAAAGGUAUUGCACUUGGGCUUCACUACUUAGAAUGUCAUCAUGUAACCGGAUGCUCUCAAGGCAAUCAGAUACCACUGCACCAUGUAGGAGAGGCCAAAAAAGCAAUGCUACUUGGGCAACUAACCCUACAGUCUCAACCUAGAAUCCACCACAUCAUCAUCUUCACACAGUACUUUAGACGAGAGGCUGCGUACAUACAGGAAAUCGCCACACUAUACUGAGAUUAAUUAGCAACAGACUGCACUCGAACUCGCAGUUCAUACACGAAACCUAAACAAAAACAAGAAACAUCAUGCAACAACCAUCAACAACAGGGUUUCAACAUCUACAGCGCGACGGCAGACCACCUGCCUAUCACUAGAACAUAAUAGUCUUGAUGAAUCCUGCACUAAUCGAAUCCAACUGGACUUUACAAAAUCUUCACAAGCGCGACUAAACAUUGCAGGUAGCCCAUGAGGGCCGGCGGGCGCUGGAACGCAUCUAGACCAGUCUAAGGAUAAGAACGUCAAUCGUAUAAACAGCUGCGACUGCAAGCCCAGCUGAGGAGGUUGCACUGCGCCGUCAGCACUAACAUCGAAGCCGAUUACAAAAAACCGAAACCCUAAUUACCCGACCCCAGAAUCACGAAGCGCGGAUCUUAUUCAAAGCAGGCAUGCAGGACACCAAAGGGAAAACGAAAGAAGGACUGAAACCGUUACCAGGUGCGGGAGCCAGGGCCGUAGCCCUUAGGGUGCGAGUUCCACACCGCCUCGUGACCCAUGCUGGCAGAUGAUGCAAGCAGCGACAACAACAGAUGCGACGAAGCACAAGAGGCGAGGGCGAGGGCGACUAAGGCGCAAGGGGAGAGCGAGAGUGGGAGAGGAGGACCGAUGGUGCGUGCUCCUCGUUAUGGCCACCCUGCGAGAGUUAUGGCCAGCCUUGGAAUUAGGGCUAGGGUUACGAGAUGGACCAGUCCACUCUGGCGGUCCACUCUGGCGGUCCACUCUGGCAGUCCAAGCUGUCCGACGUUACAUGCCCUGCUGGCAUCUGCGAAUACGUCACCAUUUCGGGUUACUGCAAUGUAUGUGUGUACACAACGAUGAAGAAACAAACCAAAUAUAAUCAUUAAAAAGCAGUAAAUGUGAGCAAAGGUGUAUAUAUUGGAAAAGUCGAGUUGCAUUUGUUGUUUUGAUUUUUAUGUUUAAUACACAUAUGGUGCUCAUAGUUACAUUUUAAUAUAUAUAUAUAUAUAUAUAUAUAUAUAUAAUAAAAAAUUAAGUAUACAUCCAAAAAAAUCUAUGAAAAUAUAUAAUUUUGUAUAUUAUUUCACUUUUAACUACUAUAAAAAUAAUAAUGAAACAUUCUAUAUUGAAAUGGGUUUAAAAUAGUACUUCUUAUUCGCCAAUAUUGGUGAGUAUUCCAAGAAAGUUAUUUAUUGAAAGACAAUAUAUUACUAGCGGAUAAUAAUAAAAAUAAUCAACUCUUAAAAUGUAAUUAUAUAUAUAUAUAUAUAUAUAUAUAUAUAUAUAUAGAGAGAGAGAGAGAGAGAGAGAGAGAGAGAGAGAAAAAAAAAAAACUUCUUACUCUUCAAAAUAUCUAUUUUUGUAAUUCUAGUUAGUUCUCAAUUUUUUCUUCAAAUACAAUAUAAUAAGUAUUGAAUAUAGUAUUUUUACUUGAGUAGCUUGCAAAUACAUAAUUAAGAACAAUCUCAAUAAUCUAUCAAGUACAAUAAUUAAUUUGUCUAAACAAUUUAGUACUUAUAAAAACUCAACUAUCAUGAACAAAAACCAAAUUCUUAUACAUAUCUCAAUAUUUUAUUUCAAGUGAUUGCACAUCUUACUAAAAAUAUGGUCUAAAAUGCUAUUUAUGAUAAUGACCAUAAUACGUUUUAUUGGAUUAAUAUGCCAAAACAAAGAAUCUAUCAUCUAUCCAAGAAGUUAUUUGUAAAAAACCAACGUUUUAUUUGGUACAAGUUAAAAUAAAAACCGUUAUUUUACUUUUUAAUAGAAUAAAAUUAAAGACAUCAAUUUUAAAUAUUUUGCAACUGUCAUACAAGAAAUUCAUUGAUAUUUAUAUUGUAAUAAGGAGAUAUUGUUAUCAACUAAAAGUUCACCAAAAUUUGCUAAAUAUUAGUAUAUUGUUUAAGAAUAUAAGAUAACUAGUCAUAUCAAUAAAUAUUUUAUUAAAACUAUGAUUUUUUUUUACAAGAUUAAAAAUGACUAAAAAUAACUUGAAGGAAGAAAAAAGAAACACACUCUUCUAAUCCUAUCUUAAUAUGUAAAUUUUUAAAAUUUUGAUUUAGAACUUCAUACUUCCAAAUUGAAUUCGAAAAUUUAAUCAAUAGGAAAUAAAUUCAAAACCUCACCUUUUCACACAUUGGUUACACAUCAAGAUUUGGAGAGCCUGAAGUUCUAAACCCUUCAGCUGCUGUAGUUCUAUCUUGUUCUCUCAACCUCGUAUUUGGAAAAAUAUGGCAGCUCUCCUAGUGUUCGAUGAAUGUUGCAUAGUUUUCAAAAAUAUUCCGUCUAAUCCUCAAAGGUGCUGCAUCCAACAUAUAUCAGCUUUUGAAGUUUUAAUUCAAAAUUCUCAACACAAUAAGUUCUAGUACAGGUUAUCCAAGGAAAAGUGUUAACUUUCCUUCACCACCUAGUGCUUGCAGUUAACAAGGGAAGUUUUGAAAGAAUUCUUCCUACUUCUUCCUUAAAAUUCUGCACAAAAAGACACCCCUCAUUCUGAUAAUCCCCUGAUAGAUUAUGACCAGAUGAGUCGCUCGAAAAUACAGAGCUUGAUUCGCAAUUCAACCUUAAAUAUUUAAGUCCAUAUAAGUUCUUUGCUUUAAUUGGGUAACUCAUGUAUUGUCGAGAUAGUGGGUGACCCUGCCAGUGCUGCGAGGAGGUCCGAAACAAUUUUAGGUGAUUCUUGGCAGUGCAGGUGACAUGAGACUCGUACGGAAUACAACACGAUUCCUAAGUAGUGUUACAAAUCAUUGCCCCAAGGAUACAGGUCGCCAGGAGGACCCUCGGUCCAGUUUAGGAACGAUUGGCCUGGUUGUAAGUAAAUACUAGGAUCGUGAGGCAACUUUCGAGCCAGUCCGUUCAGGAUCUGGUGGAAUGCAUCGCCAGGUUUUGCAGGUCGAGGGAAAAGCAUGGCUUGCUUCAUGGCUGGGUUAGCCAGUAGUCUCUGCUUCUCAAGCACCUCCUCAUGAUUAAUAGUACACAAUAUUUUGUCCAGUAUAGGAACAUCUUUCUCUUCCACAAACACCCCAAUCUUCUCCCAUGGUAUGGCAUCAGCGAAAGGAAGCACUAUGUCGUCUGCAAUAAUGACAGGAAUGCAACCAAAAAUCACCCCUUCAACAAGCCGGGGACUCCAGGGAGCCCAACCAAGUGGACACAAGCAAAAAAUUGCGCGUUGCAUGUCUUCAUAGUAAGUUGCUGGAUGCUCUGUCGAGAUGUCGAACAAUGGGUUAUCUUUGAAAUUUUCCCAGAUAGCUGCUCUUGCGCCUCUGCAAAGAAUCAUCCAAUGAAGAACUCAGUAUGUCUAACAAACCAAGAGGAAGCAAAAGAAUAAAUACACAAAAGAUGAAUAAAAACUAGCUUGCAUGCAUGUCGGGAGAGAGUAGACUGAUACUUCAGUAACCACAUUGAAAGUUUUGGUCAUGUCUCUUUAGCACACAUGAACACAACCCAAGAAAACCUUCUUUUAGAUUAUAGAACGAAAAAGCAUACUAAUAAAUAAAUAAACAAAUAAUACUACAUAUAAAAAUAGUAAGUAGUCGUAAAAACCUUACCGAGCAUAAUAACCACCUUCAGGAUCGUUGCCAGGGUCAUAAAAUAAACCUCUGAAAUAUGCAAAAAUAGAGCGUGGGGUGCUUGGCGGAUUCAGCCGGGUUUGCAUCCUUUCAGGUGGAGCAUACGGAGGGAUAACAAUUGAAUCUUCCUUGAGACAAACGUGAUGAUUCUGGCCAAACGUUUGAAUUAACGUUGCUCGCUUCAACAGUGGGAGAAUACCCCUCUCAAUGGCCUUUUCUUCCUGUAUCAGAAAAAAUGCGCAAGUUUAUUGUAAUAUAAAAAUGGUUUAAAAGUAAGCCUCAUUCUGUUACUUCCGAUUGUCACUAGAAAGAAGGAAAUAGAUGUUUUCACGAGUCAGUGGAAGCACAUCCCUCUUUGAUCAUCUGUGCCUUCUAGGAUUCGUGCAUAAUCCUACGGGUGCAGGACGUUAACUGUAAUCACAACGAAGGCACAAAAAGACAAAAUUGCGUAUGAAAGUGAAAUUUCUGAAUACCUGGUAAUGAAAGCAAGCAGCGAAAUCAUGUGGUACAACAAAAAAAUGGUCUGCUCCAUCUGUCCUGUUCCAGUACGGCCAGUGGCUAGAAAUGUAGCUGAUAGCACUUCUCAUAACGCGGGGUGACUUGAAAGGCAAAGGAAGCCCAUUUGGAGUCAAAUCACAUGUUGUGUACACAGGAGUGUAAAACCAGUCGGCCUCUUCAGGAUUCAACGUCCGGACAGGGCUUUCCGUCAAAAAGUCGUGAAGAUACUCCUCCACAGCGAACAUGUGUGUAAGACAGCGAGGGUCCUUUUUCAACCAAUCAGUGUUAUAUUUACUGUAGGACAACAAAGUUCAACCAUCGCUAGGUUAGAUACACUCCAGUAUUCUAUAUCUUAUGAAGCAACCCUCCCAAAGACAUCGUGUCAUAUCAAACAGUAAAAAGAGCGUCACAGUAACGUAAAAACCUUAAUAGAAUUCAGAAUACCAGAGCGAAAAGAAUUGGAUAUGAUUUCAUCUCUUAGAUGGUGCUCGUAAGCUUCAAAAAAAAUAAAUACCUCGGAAUGUCAUAGAUAAAAACUUUCAGACGGCCAACAGGGUUGUCCUCCAGCACAUCACCCGCACUUCCUGCAAAGAAUUUACCAGGUGUCCUUGUCAUCUAAGUGGAUGGUAUAACUUUCAUGUAGGACUUUCAUACAGAAAUAAAAUGAAAUAUGCCUUAUUAAGAGUUGUUCAUCACUGAAAAAUCAGGAUAACUAUGUUGCACACACAACCUUGCAACAGCUGAAAUGGCAUCUUUCAUUUAGUAGAAGCAAUAUUCAGCUGUCUUCAAGAUAAUAAGUUCCUAGGGAAAUUGAGCAUAAGUGGGUUCGCCUGGCGAUUGAGUUUCACAGCCUAAUUUCUUUCUACUGAACAGGAUAAGCUGCAUGUACUAUCUCUCUAUACUCGCACUUUGAACUAAUUUUGAGCGAUUUCUCAAGUUGGAGCUUGAUAACUGUGGGUUACCAAAGAAUUCCAAAUUGCUUAAUCAACCAGUUCUUAUAAAAUGCACCAUAUAAUCUGCACAAACUCUGGAAACCCGGGUCACCAGAUGAUAAAUUCUAUUUCCCCAAGCCAGCUUGCCAGGCUCCUUGCGCAACGAUCAAUAUUCACAACAUUCCCGAACAUAAGAAACCCUAAGCCAUGCAAAUGCGGUACCUGAAAUUCGUUGAUGACCCAUUUCCGCAGUGACAUCUUGAACAAAAUAGAUGAAUAGCAGCAGUAACACGACAGACCUUAAGCCAGAAGCCACAACAGUGCGCUUCAUUAACCCCCACCCUCUACAUUUCUUAUUACAGAACCAACUCAUAGCUAAACUACAAGAAUCUGCGCACUCCAAAGGGUGCUCCAUUGGCUGCCCUCCUUGUUCAGUGCCACCCCAUCAUGCCCUCCUACGAAACACCCAAUUCUCCCAUCCCUAAGAGAAGCUCCAAACCUUCCCGAAAACGCUACAAACCCUCUCUUCCGAUCCCCCAAAUGCUAGCUGCUAAAAAAAUAAAUAAUCCGUGCAGCUUAAACCAUCCGAACCCAUCCCAUCAAAUACCAUUCGCGUGUAGCUCGAUCGUGCAUCAACGCAUCACCGAAGUUUCCAAUGCUCCAAUACACGCACGCACACGCACAAGGUUGUCGUGAAUGCUACCGCUUGAGGCCAAGUCUGUCCCACUAGGACUCAAACCUCGGCUCCUCGGUGAUGAUCAGUGGGACAUCACGGCACCCACAGCUUCCUUCCAGCAAGCACGCAGCUGGCAAAGGGCUUGUAGCGUGAAGCUGGGCAUCAUGCUUCUAUGUCCAACAAGCGAUUGCACCCCGACUACUAAAUUUGUUUGGCAUGAUUCUCCUGACCAACUCGUGCUGCUUCUUCUCCGACGCCUUGACUCGGCCCAAGGGACCAGGACGCUGCGAGACCGUCAAUAAUAUCCAAGUUCGUUGAUUUCAAGUCAAGGUUUACAGAUAUUAGAGUGAAGUCUUCUCUUCUAAUUCAAGUGUAGAUUUGAAUGCGGAUGCUGACCAGGUGAGAAAUGAGAUCCAGAUCUUGAAACGACGUUCCACGGAUGGUGGCAUGAUCCUAAAUUAAACUAGGUUAGUGUUGAAUUAGUCGUUAAUUUCAUGUUAAGUGAGGUCUGUACCGAUGAGUAGAAGUGUAGGGUUUCAUUUUGUGUUUGAAUUUAGACAGUGGUUUUUGUGUUUGAAGUGAAAUUUUUUUUUUUUUUUUUUUUUUUUUUUGCGUAAUUAAAAUAGCCCGACAUUUUAGACGAGGAAUUUGAUAGCUUUUUUAAUACCAGGAUUAGAUUACAUAAUUUUUCUAAAAUCAGCUUUUUAUCAAAGUUAAAAAGUUACAGUUAAAAACAUUCAAUGCAUUAGAUAUGUUGAUAUCAUGGACAUUCAAACAGACUAAACUAGAUUUGAUAAAGCAAUUUUGGUCACACACACCUAACAACAACAACAACAACAACCACGCAUAUGUAUAUAAAUAUAGGCACAUAUAAUUGAUCACAUGGGUACACAAAAAAUAAUCAAUCAAUGUUAGAAAUAUUAAUAGUGCAUUCGCUUUACAGCUGUGCACUAUUAAUGUGCUUGAAAUUCCAUGCACAAUCAACAACAUGUGGAAUGAAGGAACACGCAUACAUAUACAACAUGUGGAAUGAAUGAACAAUUUUAGGUUUUAAAAAAACCAAUCCUUUUGAAACCCUAAUCCUGUAACAACGCGGAAGCCCUAUCCCUUACGCAGUUUUCAUGUCGAACAGGCUCGUGGUUGCUGGUGAAUUCAUGGCGCCAUGGAUGGGAUUGGCCGAUACGGCGCGAGCUGCAACGCGUCAUGGCAGAGAACCUCAAAGGCGGCUCUGGAAAUCAGAUGAUAUCGGUGGCGGCAGAUUAUAGCAGGUCUCUAAGAUUGACUUGAGCUCGAACAAGCGCUGGAUUCGGUGUGUAGGUUUUUGUUCGUCCGCAAGCUCGUUGGACUGAUACCGCCCCGAUUCGUCCAGCAAGCACGUCAUGGCGUCCGCGCGAUUCCCACAGACGAUGUCAUCAGCUGCACUGUCGCCCACCAUCAUCACCUCGUGGGGGUGCAGGCCCCAUUUGUCGCAGAUGUGCAGCAAUGGCGCGGGAUGAGGCUUGCAAGGGGUGAACUCACGGCCCAAAGCGGGAUGGAACUUGGGCAAUCCGAAUCGUGAGUGGAAGAAUUCGAUGCCAGUGUUCACAUUGCGGGUGAUGAUGCCGCGACGAAUGCCACGCGCAUCGAGGAAUGAGCACACCUCCUUCGCGCCCGGCAUGAUCUGAAGCUUCUCAUGGGCGUCUUGCUCGAUCUCUGUUAUUAUGGCGUACGCGCGAGCUUGUUUCUCGGAGCUCCAGCUGGAGAUUUCGUGAAGGAUGUCGAUAGGGUUGUUGUUGACGACGUCUGGAUGAUCUCCGCCCAGUAUACGUUUGUACAUGAGUCGGAAGUCGAUGCAAGGCACGGUAAGAGUCCCGUCCAUGUCAAAGAUCAUACCCUUCACCGAUGGCUUUGGGUGGAAAUGCUCCGCUGUCCCCGUCAGUAGCCGUCUUAUGGGUGACAUAGCCCUUCUGAAGCCUCACCACUCCUUUACACGGAAUGGACCAGGGAAGAGCUGAUACGCCAGUAACCCUUCAAGUAGUUUCCUGCAACCCAUAAACAUGAAUGCACCCCCAAGUACCAAAAGAUUAGAUUAUGUACAACACUUCUGCCCGAUUUUCCGUGACCAAUACCCACGUAAGCAACUCUUGAUCUGGACACAGCGUGUGCCGUAGCAAUUUGAUCUGCUUCAGCUGAAAGGAUUUCUUCCCUUGGCACUCUAUUGGUGAACAAUCAACCGAGAGCUAGUAAUUCCAAGAAGUACUAGAUAGUACAAUGUCUAAGACACUAUCAGUACAAUACCGUAAUCGAAUUAUCAAUUUGGAACGAGAGCAACGAUAGUAAGCCGAGAAGGUGUCGAAUUGCGGUUUGAUAGAAAAAUCUUGGUCAGAAGCACUGUUUUUCUAACAUGCCAGAUUCAAAAUAACACUCUCGGCAACGAGAGUGUUCAUCAAGCUGUCAAUAUGCGAAAUUCCACAGUCGUACAAUCACGAAUGGAAGAAAACCCGAAGCACUCGACGUUCGCACUCAAAAACCCAAUCCCUAUAUCCCAAUUCAGAGAGGGAAAACGAUUCCCAAGAUCAGUUAUUCAAAUUCCAAUACAUUCAUUCCAACCAUUGCCCUUAGCAUUGCAAUCCCACCAACUUCUCAGUAAUUCUUUCAUACCUUCAAGGCCCUGAACACUCCCGACAAUUCAAUAUUGGUUGUUGAUAGCAUUGCACGUUUCCAACCUCAAACAAAUGAAGCUCCAGAGAGUAACGGUCUCCACCACUCUGCCUUGAAGCUCCAGGUCAAUUCUCGGCACGCAGAGAGUGUAUAGAAAGAGUUCCAUCUCCACAUACCGCAAGGCCUCGGUGUGACAUACUGUAACACCAAAAGUGGAGAGCGAAUCUGGACCUUCCACAUCGUGAUCAUACUAUCAUUCUCCUUGAAAAAGCAACUCCCAUCAAACGCAAAGCUGUGGAAAUGACAGUGCGUUAGAAAGUGAGAAAGAGAGGAGACAGUCAUCGUCUCAUCCAUCCGCGACCCGUCGAUUUCUACCCCAUAUCUCUCUCUCUGCCUCAUCCGCUUAAAUUCCGUGGUUGCAUGAAGCAAGCAGGGUUAGUUUAUAUUAUUGGUUGUGUGUCAACGUAUGGUCAUCAUGUUGGCUCUCUGAAUGCCAUCUCUCUUGGGUAUUAGAGUCUCGCGCUACAACUCAUCCAGGGUUCCUGCAUGUAGAGAGUUGAGAAAAGAGAGAGAGCUACCUCGCAGACCCACAGAGGCAUUACCUGCUAAGGAGAUUCUGAUAUCCACAACAUGAAGCGAUUGUCAUCAUGUAGGGCUAUUGAAGGGCACCAGACCGAGAGUCUCUUAGUUAGUCUCAAAAGAUUGGACAAUGUGUUGAAAGACACAAAUACACAUUUUUAGUGCAAGUCACGUCUGCUUCUGAUCCAUUAUGUCUAUUCAAGAUAGGCCAAGCACAACCACCUGUGAGCGAUAUCGCUUUGUGACAUAGGUAUAACUUCUUGAUAGGGCAUCGCUUUCAGAGACGGUAUCAAUUCAAGACCACAUCUUGAGAUAGGUAACACCAAUAUAUAUAUAUAUAUAUAUAUAUAUGUAUAGAUAUGUGUUUUUUUAACAAAGUUUAGUAUUGAUAAUGUUGUUUUUCAUUUGCAUGAUAUCAAAGCAAGUAUGAUAAUUCACACCAGAGUUUGCACAUGAGUGAAGAUUUCUCCUAUUUUAAUAGAGAUUCAAGUUUGUUUGUUUUCACCUAAUGUUGAUCAAGUGAAUUAGAUAUAAUAAGCAAGACUCCAUUAUGGACUCUAUUGCCACAAAUUUCACUAAUUGGUGACAAGUCUAGCUUUGAUCAAUAUGCCCUUGGGAGGUUUUCAUUUUUUAUAAGAAAAAAUAAGGAUUUAUAUUUUGGAGUAUUUUGUGCAAUUUGUAGCACAUCUAUACAUAAAAAAUUUAGAGUUAGUACCUUAAGUUAUGUUGAAUGUGUGUUUAAGCUUGAUCAAAUAGUUAAUCAAAGAUUAUUGAAAUUUAAGUGGGAAGGAGACUAGGAAAUUGGAAUUUGGAGGGCUAGUGAAGGUUUCUCAUAUUUGUAACAAUCUGCAAAUUGGCAUUUUUUUUAUUUAUUAUUAUUAUUUUUUUAAUACCAGUAGCAGACUUGAUUUCCAACAAUUAUGCCAAUCUUGAAAGAAAUUGAACAAUAAAAACAAGAGAUGUCAGUGCUAAGAAUAUGCCAUUAAGAUUGGAGGAAGAAGGUGGUUGAUGCCUAAGUAGAUAAUGAAAAUUUUCUUCUAUUCAGUAUGUUUAAUCUUCAUUAAACUAUUUUUUCUUUUUUUUUUUAAUUAAAAAAUUGAAAGAUGCACAAGUUUUUAAUUAAUGACAGCAAUUAAAUUAUUAGUUAUUGAGAUUUUUAUUUUAACAUAGGAUUUAAUUAAGAUUUGAUUAUGAUUACAUAGGAUUUGAUUAUGAUUUUUGGUAGGUAUUUAUUAGAAUUUGGCUAAGAGUAAGCAUUAAGAUUUUGUAAAGAUUUGACUAGGAUUUAAGAUAAGGAUUUGAAAAGGAUUUAAUUAAGAUUCUUUUAGGAUUUAUUUAAAGUUUGAUUAGGAUUCCUUUAGGAUUUCAUACAAAUUUUAUUAAGUGUCUUUUAAGAUUCUUUUAAAAUUUUAUUUGAAUUUGAUUAGGAUUUGAUAAGGAUUCAUUAAGAUUUCAUUAAUGUUUGGUUAUAAGUACUUAGAGUUUGUUAGAAUUUGAUUAAGAUUUGAUUAAAGUUUCUUUAUGGCUUAAUAAAAUUUGAAUAGGAUAUGAUUAAGAUUUAUUUAGAGAUGAUUAGAAUUUAAUAAGAUAUAUCUAGGAUGAUUUCAAAAUUAAUAGGAUAUAUUGAGGAUAAUUAGAAGUUUAUCCAAGAUUGCAAAGGGGUGUUUCUAAAUGCCUUAUACAUAGGUUUUGGUUGUAAAUCAAACUUUAAGGUAAGCUCAUUCUCUUCUACAAUUAGAUGUCUAGUGCAUCAAGUUAGAUUUCACAUAACACAACACUGCCUUUGGUUUAGGUAGUUAAGAAAAAAUACAUAUUUACAAAGGUUAAGUAGCAAAGAUUUUUUUUUAUCACAAUGUAGCUAUAAAUAGCUAUAAUAUUAUUUUGUAGAUAAUACAAGAAUAGCAACAAUUAAUAUUUGGUUAUAUACUUUAUAUCUAUUUUAUUAGUACAUAGAUAGUUCUAAGUCUUAGGUUGUAAAAUGAUUAGAGAAAAGAUUCAUGAAGACCUUUAGGUUUUCAACUCAAUAUGAAGAAGCCUUGGAACUCUGGCUUUGGAAUUGUAAUUGUGGUGCUUGAAGGCUAGUCAGACGAUGAAUUAGAUCGAAAAUGUGUAAUUGAUGAUUAUGGAAGGAUCUUGGCCUCUUACAGAAGCUUCAAAAGGGACAUUUCUUCAGCUAUUAGUACAACGAAAAGAAAUAGAAUUAGUUAAAUGAGGAAGGAUUAUGUGGAGAACAAUUUACUAUUUUGUAUGUUGUUAGAUGGAGCUUGGGACAUAGUUCCAAGGCCAAAUUGAAGAGGUUAAGAUUGAGCAUGGGAAAUACAUGAGAUUGAGCUGUAAAUUAUUACAUAUGAGAUUGAGCAUGAGAAAUUGGGUCUGUUAUAUUAAGAAUGCAUUAAUCAUCAGGCAGGCAUAUAGCCCUGCCAUCUUCGGUCAAGUACCCACGUCUGCCUCGCUCUAGCUUCCAGCAGGUAUAUCGAACAAGCACACAAGCAAAUUAACAACCGUACACUGCAACACGACAUUUCAAUCCCAAAAACAACACCGUUCUGGACACCCUGUAACUGCUCCGCCAAAACCAAAUCCCGCACUAUUCACUUCUUCUUGGCAGCGGCCUUAGUAACCUUCGCACCAGUUGGUUCCUUCUUCUCCACGGCCUUGAUAACACCUACGGCCACCGUCUGUCUCAUGUCACGCACGGCGAAACGUCCCAAUGGCGGGUAUUCCGCGAAAGUCUCCACAGUCAUGGGCUUGGUCGGAAUCAUCUUUACGAACCCUGCGUCUCCGUUCUUCAAAAACUUGGGCUCCUUCUCCAGCUCCUUACCCGAUCGCCUGUCCACCUUCGUCAAGAUCUCGGCAAACUUCACAGCAAUGUGAGAGGUGUGGCAGUCCAGCACCGGCGCGUAACCGUUUCCGAUCUGUCCCGGGUGGUUCAUGAUGAUAACCUGGGCAGUGAAGUUGGCUGCUUCCUUCGCAGGGUCGUUCUUCGAGUCCGAAGCCACGUAUCCUCUCUUCAGGUCCUUCACCGCCACGUUCUUCACGUUGAACCCGACGUUGUCUCCGGGGUGAGCCUCAGGCAUCGACUCGUGGUGCAUCUCUACCGACUUCACCUCAGUCGUCA
RNAcentral lists this long non-coding RNA (35939 nucleotides) under Physcomitrium patens. RNAcentral's name for it is "long non-coding RNA (PPAT_LNC001052)". Lineage: Eukaryota; Viridiplantae; Streptophyta; Bryopsida; Funariales; Funariaceae. The record is from RNAcentral.